UACAUUGUGCCUACCGGCCCCAGAGCUCUGGGCAAGGAGAGAGAAUGAAGCAUACUCUCAAAGAGACCUUGGCAGAGCUAAUUCUGGAGGCUGGCGAUGGAUGGGUGGAUCUCUUUCCUUUCCCCCUCCUCAAGGCACGAUGUACUCCCUGCUUAAACAAGGUGACCCCAUUUGAAAUAAUGUUCAAGAGACACCCCCCUGCUCUGCCCUCGGCUACAAGAGGUUGUCCUAGCAGAAAUGACUGAUCAGUCUGUACUCCAGUCACUGCAGGCAUUGCAGUCUGUCUUGGAAGGACUCGCCAACCCAGGGAUUUGGUUUGGAUGCGCUGCCGCCAAGUGGGAGGCUUGGAGCCUCGCUGGAAGGGACCAUUUACUGUCAUCCCGACCACCCUCAUGGUGGUGAAAGUAGAAGGCCUCACUCAGGGCCUGGAUUCACGUGGGUCAUGUCAAAUGAGCCAAGGACGAGGUUGCUUCCAGAAGUGGAUGCCGCUGCCAGUGGACCCCGCCGAUCAUGGACUAAAGCUAAGACUCAAAAAACAAUAAGUUCAUUGAGUUCAUUGUUGCUCCUAUUGUUAAAAUAUAGGUGGGAAAUAUAGACAAUUAGGGCUUGACAUACUAUU
This is a long non-coding RNA of Mustela erminea (ermine), 619 nucleotides long. RefSeq lists it as uncharacterized. NCBI's taxonomy places the organism in Eukaryota, Metazoa, Chordata, Mammalia, Carnivora, Mustelidae. The record is from RefSeq and is a predicted model, not a curated record. The transcript is spliced from 2 exons.